RNAcentral lists this ribosomal RNA (600 nucleotides) under uncultured bacterium. RNAcentral's name for it is "bacterial SSU rRNA". It matches the Rfam family "Bacterial small subunit ribosomal RNA", at positions 38 to 624 of the family's 1533-position model. The record is from RNAcentral.
GGCUUCAGGCCUAACACAUGCAAGUCGAACGGUAACAGGAAGAAGCUUGCUUCUUUGCUGACGAGUGGCGGACGGGUGAGUAAUGUCUGGGAAACUGCCUGAUGGAGGGGGAUAACUACUGGAAACGGUAGCUAAUACCGCAUAACGUCGCAAGACCAAAGAGGGGGACCUUCGGGCCUCUUGCCAUCGGAUGUGCCCAGAUGGGAUUAGCUAGUAGGUGGGGUAACGGCUCACCUAGGCGACGAUCCCUAGCUGGUCUGAGAGGAUGACCAGCCACACUGGAACUGAGACACGGUCCAGACUCCUACGGGAGGCAGCAGUGGGGAAUAUUGCACAAUGGGCGCAAGCCUGAUGCAGCCAUGCCGCGUGUAUGAAGAAGGCCUUCGGGUUGUAAAUACUUUCAGCGGGGAGGAAGGCAGUAAAGUUAAUACCUUUGCUCAUUGACGUUGCCCGCAGAAGAACCACCGGCUGACUCCGUGCCUGCAACCGCCGCUAAUACGGAGGUUGCCAGCGUUAAUCCGCACUUACUGGGGCGUAAAGCGCACGCAGCGCUCUGUUAAGACGUAUGUGAACUCCCCCGGGCUCACCCUGAGGAACUGC